This 253-nucleotide ribosomal RNA is filed under the name uncultured bacterium. Its description in RNAcentral is "partial 16S ribosomal RNA". It matches the Rfam family "Bacterial small subunit ribosomal RNA", at positions 524 to 776 of the family's 1533-position model. The record is from RNAcentral.
GACGAACCGAGCGAACGUUAUUCGGAAUCACUGGGCUUAAAGGGCGCGUAGGCGGGCGGCCAAGUCAGGGGUGAAAGCCCCCAGCUCAACUGGGGAAGUGCCUCUGAUACUGGUCGCCUCGAGGGAGGUAGGGGCGUGCGGAACUUCCGGUGGAGCGGUGAAAUGCGUAGAUAUCGGAAGGAACGUCGGUGGCGAAAGCGGCGCGCUGGACCUCUUCUGACGCUGAGGCGCGAAAGCCAGGGGAGCAAACGGG